RNAcentral lists this long non-coding RNA (513 nucleotides) under Gallus gallus (chicken). The record is from RNAcentral. Lineage: Eukaryota; Metazoa; Chordata; Aves; Galliformes; Phasianidae.
CAUCCUGGCAGGUACAGAGAAGGAAUUUGGCAGGUGGAAGGGGUUGUACAGGAGUCAACAGCAUUCUGAGGGUAACAGCCAGACUCAGGGACACAGCUGUCACUCGGUCCAGCGGUGGCCACAAUGCGGAGCUGUGCAGACAUAGUAGAGCCUCAUGGCAUCCUCAGCUCUUGCACUGUGCGACUGGAAGAAAACAGCCUCCUUGUGCCCGCACUUCUGGCAGGGGUGGUCCUCAGUGCGCGGCAGUGUAGGGUCCUGGGAGACAUCAGCGAUGAUCUGCGUGAGCUCAUCCACUUCGUGCGUGAUCUUGUUGACGUAGAUGCAGCUGCUGUCGGCCUCCUGCUGGUAGUCGCAGUUGCGGCACGCAUAAAGCAGCACGCGGCUCUCCUUGUCCUCCUUGGGGUACAGCAUGUUGUUACACUCCUGGCAGAAGCGGAUGCCCACGAAACCCGGCUCAGACGGACCCUCCGACUCCAUGGCGGCUCCGCGCAUGCGCACCGCGACCGACCACGG